AAACCAGCACCUCAAGUGGUCAGGAUGAUUAUUGGGCCUAAAGCAUCCGUAGCCGGCUCUGUAAGUUUUCGGUUAAAUCUGUACGCUCAACGUACAGGCUGCUGGGAAUACUGCAGGGCUAGGGAGUGGGAGAGAUAGACGGUACUCGGGAGGAAGUGGUAAAAUGCUUUGAUCUCUCGAUGACCACCUGUGGCGAAGGCGGUCUAUCAGAACACGUCCGACGGUGAGGGAUGAAAGCUGGGGGAGCAAACCGGAUUAGAAACCCCAGUAGUCC
Molecule: ribosomal RNA, 274 nt
Filed under: uncultured bacterium
Lineage: Bacteria
Description: partial 16S ribosomal RNA
Rfam family: Archaeal small subunit ribosomal RNA
Source: RNAcentral